Molecule: ribosomal RNA, 253 nt
Filed under: uncultured bacterium
Lineage: Bacteria
Description: partial 16S ribosomal RNA
Rfam family: Bacterial small subunit ribosomal RNA
Source: RNAcentral
UACAGAGGGGGCAAGCGUUGUUCGGAAUUACUGGGCGUAAAGGGCGCGUAGGCGGCCUGUUAAGUCGAACGUGAAAUCCCUGGGCUCAACCCAGGAACUGCGUCCGAUACUGGCAGGCUUGAAUCCGGGAGAGGGAUGUGGAAUUCCAGGUGUAGCGGUGAAAUGCGUAGAUAUCUGGAGGAACACCGGUGGCGAAGGCGGCAUCCUGGACCGGCAUUGACGCUGAGGCGCGAAAGCCAGGGGAGCAAACGGG